GACGAACGCUGGCGGCGUGCUUAACACAUGCAAGUCGAACGAAGAGCGAUGGAAGCUUGCUUCUAUCAAUCUUAGUGGCGAACGGGUGAGUAACGCGUAAUCAACCUGCCCUUCAGAGGGGGACAACAGUUGGAAACGACUGCUAAUACCGCAUACGAUCUAAUCUCGGCAUCGAGGAUAGAUGAAAGGUGGCCUCUUCAUGUAAGCUAUCACUGAAGGAGGGGAUUGCGUCUGAUUAGCUAGUUGGAGGGGUAACGGCCCACCAAGGCGAUGAUCAGUAGCCGGUCUGAGAGGAUGAACGGCCACAUUGGGACUGAGACACGGCCCAGACUCCUACGGGAGGCAGCAGUGGGGAAUCUUCCGCAAUGGACGAAAGUCUGACGGAGCAACGCCGCGUGAGUGAUGACGGCCUUCGGGUUGUAAAGCUCUGUUAAUCGGGACGAAAGGCCUUCUUGCGAAUAGUGAGAAGGAUUGACGGUACCGGAAUAGAAAGCCACGGCUAACUACGUG
Molecule: ribosomal RNA, 510 nt
Filed under: uncultured bacterium
Lineage: Bacteria
Description: partial 16S ribosomal RNA
Rfam family: Bacterial small subunit ribosomal RNA
Source: RNAcentral